This 74-nucleotide transfer RNA is filed under the name Shewanella putrefaciens. RNAcentral's name for it is "tRNA-Val". It matches the Rfam family "tRNA". From Rfam's summary of the family: Transfer RNA (tRNA) molecules are approximately 80 nucleotides in length. Their secondary structure includes four short double-helical elements and three loops (D, anti-codon, and T loops). The record is from RNAcentral. Lineage: Bacteria; Pseudomonadati; Pseudomonadota; Gammaproteobacteria; Alteromonadales; Shewanellaceae.
GGUCGCUUAGCUCAGCUGGGAGAGCACCUCCCUUACAAGGAGGGGGUCACUGGUUCGAGCCCAGUAGCGACCAC